GACGAACGCUGGCGGCGUGCUUAACACAUGCAAGUCGAACGGAAAGGCCCUGCUUUUGUGGGGUGCUCGAGUGGCGAACGGGUGAGUAACACGUGAGUAACCUGCCCUUGACUUUGUGAUAACUUCAGGAAACUGGGGCUAAUACCGGAUAGGAGCUCCUGCUGCAUGGUGGGGGUUGGAAAGUUUCGGCGGUUGGGGAUGGACUCGCGGCUUAUCAGCUUGUUGGUGGGGUAGUGGCUUACCAAGGCUUUGACGGGUAGCCGGCCUGAGAGGGUGACCGGCCACAUGGGGACUGAGAUACGGCCCAGACUCCUACGGGAGGCAGCAGUGGGGAAUAUUGCACAAUGGGCGGAAGCCUGAUGCAGCAACGCCGCGUGCGGGAUGACGGCCUUCGGGUUGUAAACCGCUUUCGCCUGUGACGAAGCGUGAGUGACGGUAAUGGGUAAAGAAGCACCGGCUAACUACGUG
This 468-nucleotide ribosomal RNA is filed under the name uncultured bacterium. RNAcentral's name for it is "partial 16S ribosomal RNA". It matches the Rfam family "Bacterial small subunit ribosomal RNA", at positions 28 to 507 of the family's 1533-position model. The record is from RNAcentral.